This 2783-nucleotide long non-coding RNA is filed under the name Coffea arabica (coffee). RNAcentral describes it as "long non-coding RNA (CARA_LNC007993)". The record is from RNAcentral. Lineage: Eukaryota; Viridiplantae; Streptophyta; Magnoliopsida; Gentianales; Rubiaceae.
UCUACUCUUAAAGUAGUUCAAGCAUAGCCUGUCGCUGCCCAGAAAUCAUUCCAACGUGUGUAAGGUCCCCAAAUUCAAGGAUCAAGUCAUUCCUCUUCUCAUUGGAUGUACCUGCAGCUACCUGUAAGUUGUUUGCAAUUUGCAAAUAAAGUCAUGAGUAAAUGUCUAUAAGAGCCAUUUCUUUAUAGUUUUAACAAGAAAAUCUGUUACCUUAUUUUGCAGAAGCUUGUUUUCUUCCCUCAGCAUCUUUUCCUGCAGGUAGAGAUGUGGAGGUAAGUAGGUUGACUGAUUUUUAAUAUGCUAUUAUAAUUGCAGUCAACUGUCUGUGUCCUUGAGUCCUCCACAAAUUCCGUUGUGAUGAAACUAGGCUAUAAUGGAUAAAUUGAUUCAAGCUACUUAUAUAGUUAUUGUUGCAAGUCCACAGAACAUUCAAAUGCUAGUACUAUAUAUAGUUGUAGAGAAGAAUUUCAGUGUUGCAAGAACUUUAUUUCUAAGUCUAAUCAUACAUCAGAAGAUGCGUAGCAGAUAUAUCUGUUAGGAACCUCUAUAUCUAAAUACACUAUAAAUAUAAUAUCAACCGCAGAUCCAGCCCAGUGGAAAAUUUUCCUUGACAUGAUGUUGAUUGACAUAUAACUGUAUCGGAGAAAGAUAAUCUUUCUCGUUUCAUAGAAUUUGAUGAGGAUUGAGAAUAUGCUAUCUACUUUUGAGGGCAUAUAUUCUUCAUACACAAAUUUCAGUAGUAAAAAUGGAAAUAGGAAAAAUGUUUCUAAAAAAGUGUAAGGCUGCAGAUUGCUUUGACAUACCACUUCACUUAGACUGGUUAUUGAUUCCAUCAGUAAUCGUGUCUGCACGAAAAUAUCACAUGAGGUAAAGUAAUAAGAAACCCGAAAUCAUGAAAACCAGAAGUUGUUAAGAAACAAAAGAUGAGAGUUACGGAAUCAACAGAAGUGUGCUUGAAUAGGGGAGGAACAUUGAAAAUUUGUCAGUCUCCUCCCAAAUGAUACAUGGCUUAUUCAUCCUCUUGCAGAACUUUCACCAUCUUACUUUUCUGGGCCUCUUUCUUUUUCCCGCUCUCUGUUAGUUGUUUGUCUGCUUCUCAUGUAUGUUAUAGUUACACCAUUAUAUUCAAAAGUCUGAUCUCAUUUUAGAUAACUAGUUUGUUAAUUGUACAGUAAAGAUAGAGGCAAGCUGAUUAACAAUUCAUGCACUCGAAGAUUCCAAUCUACUGAUCUCAGGAAAGAUGCAAGACAUGGUACUGUACCCAGAUAGAGAAAAUUGCUUUGUGGGCCUAAUUUUUGGAAACAACAAUAACCUUAUAACUCUCAUCAACCCACACUUGUCCAACCAUCUACACAUUAGCAUGUCUAGUAAACCAGUUUAGGAAUAUUAACCUUGAUGUAGCUGUCAUUCUAGCUCUUUUCGCGCCAUAACUAUCAUUAGUGUCACAACAAAUAUGGAACAAAGUACAUUAUUUUACUAUGAUGCGAAGAACCUUUUAUUUCUUAUUUGGUCAUUUACCUUUUUAAGGAUAAGGAUGUCCCAAGACACCUUUAUUCUACUAAAAGUCAAAGAAGAAAUCUUUCUGCUAUUAAAGUCAAAGAUAGUAAUUACCACAUCUCAUAGUGACUUUUUCUAGUUAUGCAGGCUUAAUCUCGAAAUACUUCAAUGUGCUAAAUACAAUUAUACAAAGUAGCCAUGUUAACUAAUCAUAAAAAUUAGAGACACGGAUCUAUGAAAUCCUUUUACUGAAACUAUGUAACAGUGGAAGUGGAAACACAGAUAUGAAAUCCUUUUACUGAAAAUAUCUGACAGUCGAAGUGGCAACACCAAUACAAAGAAUUAUUCUCUCUACUGUCAGAUUGCAGAUUUGCACGAGUUCUUUCAACACAUAGCUUACACAGUUACACCUAUUUUGAGAAAACUGGAGAAAAACAUACCUUCCUAGAUCUUGUUUGAAUGAGUGCAUCUUCAAGUUGUUCUUCCAAUUGCACUAGUUCACUCAGGUUAAGGUGGUCAACAUCUGGCUCCUCUAGAUCCCUGUUGGAAAACAGAGACAACAUUAGAUUCUAUAGUUGUCGAAGGAGAUGAGGUAUUAUGUCAGUGCCUUUCAACUUUUUCCAGCAGCUUUCUGAUUGUCACGACAUUUCUGCCUUCAGGGUUACGUUUCUGAAACAGAAAUGGAAAUACUAGUAAAUCAACUAGCAUAAAAAUAUGUCCACCCAAGCAGAAACUAGACUAUUUGGUAACACAAAGAUGGAAUUAUAUAAAGCAAUCAGCAUAUGAUCCGGAGGCUUCUACAUUCCAAAACAUUAUGCUAAAAACCACACUUAAGCUUGGCAAAUACUUAGACUCCUGAUUGACAUUAGUGAUUUAGUGGGCGGUUGAGUGAAACAAAUCCUUACAGCUUAUCUGUCCUACAAUUGUAGGUAAUAACUGAGAUAACUGCAAUGUAUGUUUAGUGCUUGUAAUUUCUUCUCCAAUGUUAUUAGGAGAUUUAGAUAGUGAAACAUGCUCUAUAAGCAGUUCAAUGCUGUUUUAGAUAGUGACAUAUGAGCCAUAAGCGGUUCAAUGCUAAAUCCAAGUAGUCGAAUGCUAAGAUGUCAUCAUUUCAUCACUUCCAAUAACUCCUUUUACUUGCUCUAACCUCAAUAAGCUACAAACUUACUGUUACCCUGCACCAGUGGUUGACAGGUCCAAAACAAGCCAACAUUAUGCUGCAAGUAUUUUAAGCUCCAUAAAGCACAUCACAAACUUACCUCUACGCCGCUAAUUCUUGCAGACCC